Anoplopoma fimbria (sablefish) is the source of this 444-nucleotide long non-coding RNA. RefSeq lists it as uncharacterized. The transcript is spliced from 3 exons. The record is from RefSeq and is a predicted model, not a curated record. Lineage: Eukaryota; Metazoa; Chordata; Actinopteri; Perciformes; Anoplopomatidae.
AGAACAGGAAGUGAACCUUGAAUAGUUCAGUGGUCAGUUCAGACUCCAUGUUGAGUGGACGGAGCAGAAGGAGGUAAAGUGAAGGCUGAGGCAGGGUGCUGAGCCUACGGUGGUGGACUGGUGUCCUGGUCACGGUGUCCCUCUUUUAUUGUGUUUGCAGUUGGUUUAUUUUUCAUUUGUUUUACGUGUGGUGUUCCUGGGACCCCCUUUCCUUUGGAUGCAGGUGUUCACAGUAGGUCUCAGCACUGAUUGGAUCUCAGCACCCAAUUUCCCUCCUUAGUGCUGAGCCUACGGUGGUGGACUGGUGUCCUGGUCACGGUGUCCCUCUUUUAUUGUGUUUGCAGUUGGUUUAUUUUUCAUUUGUUUUACGUGUGGUGUUCCUGGGACCCCCUUUCCUUUGGAUGCAGGUGUUCACAGUAGGUCUCAGCACUGAUUGGAUCUCAG